AGAGUUUGAUCCUGGCUCAGAACGAACGCUGGCGGCAUGCUUAACACAUGCGAGUCGAACGAAGGCUUCGGCCUUAGUGGCGCACGGGUGAGUAACGCGUGGGAACCUGCCUCUUGGUUUGGAAUAACUGCGGGAAACUGCAGCUAAUACCGGAUACGUCGGUUGUCUGUGGUGGACGAUCGGGAAAGAUUUAUCGCCGAGAGAGGGGCCCGCGUUCGAUUAGGUAGUUGGUGAGGUAACGGCUCACCAAGCCUACGAUCGAUAGCUGGUCUGAGAGGAUGAUCAGCCACACUGGGACUGAGACACGGCCCAGACUCCUACGGGAGGCAGCAGUGGGGAAUAUUGGACAAUGGGCGCAAGCCUGAUCCAGCAAUGCCGCGUGAGUGAUGAAGGCCUUAGGGUUGUAAAGCUCUUUCGGCGGGGACGAUGAUGACGGUACCCGCAGAAGAAGCCCCGGCUAACUUCGUGCCAGCAGCCGCGGUAAUACGAAGGGGGCUAGCGUUGUUCGGAAUUACUGGGCGUAAAGGGCGCGUAGGCGGCGAAGCAAGUUAGGCGUGAAAGCCCCGGGCUCAACCUGGGAAUUGCGCUUGAUACUGCUUUGCUUGAGUUCGGGAGAGGUGAGUGGAAUCCCCAGUGUAGAGGUGAAAUUCGUAGAUAUUGGGAAGAACACCGGUGGCGAAGGCGGCUCACUGGACCGAUACUGACGCUGAGGCGCGAAAGCGUGGGGAGCAAACAGGAUUAGAUACCCUAGUAGUCC
This 757-nucleotide ribosomal RNA is filed under the name uncultured bacterium. RNAcentral describes it as "bacterial SSU rRNA". It matches the Rfam family "Bacterial small subunit ribosomal RNA", at positions 8 to 796 of the family's 1533-position model. The record is from RNAcentral.